This is a non-coding RNA of Pelodiscus sinensis (Chinese soft-shelled turtle), 194 nucleotides long. The record is from RefSeq and is a predicted model, not a curated record. Lineage: Eukaryota; Metazoa; Chordata; Testudines; Trionychidae.
AGAUGUUCCUGCAGGUGGCCGAAGUGGUGGGAGAGGCCUAUGGACUGGAGCCUAUUCAGCACCUGGACCUGCUGGUGCGGGACUGGACCAGCUCCCAGCUCCUUGGAUUCCGGGGUGGGGAGCAGCAUCUGGGAGACGUCUGGCAGGGGCUGGCGGCGACGUCCCCCUGCAAACACCCCAAGGCCCUGGACGUG